RNAcentral lists this ribosomal RNA (218 nucleotides) under uncultured archaeon. RNAcentral describes it as "partial 16S ribosomal RNA". It matches the Rfam family "Archaeal small subunit ribosomal RNA", at positions 455 to 673 of the family's 1478-position model. The record is from RNAcentral.
UUGCCAGCCGCCGCGGUAAUAACCGCGCCUCAAGUGGUAGUCACGUUUAUUGGGCCUAAAGCGCCCGUAGCCGGUUUGAUAAGUUUCUGGUGAAAUCCACUAGUAGACUAGUGGAACUGCUGGAAAUACUAUCAGGCUUGAGACCGGGAGAGGUUGGGAGUAUUCCACGGGUAAGAGUAAAAUCUUUUAAUCCGUGGAGGACCACCUGUGGCGAAGGC